CAAUAGCGUAUAUUAAAGUUGUUGCGGUAAAAAAGCUCGUAGUUGGAUUUCUACCGAAGAUAGCCGGUCGGGUCUUCGACCUUGUAUCUGGUUUUGUCUUUGGUAUCCUCAUAGGGAACGUUUCUGCGCUUUAUUGCGUGGUGCGGUAUCUAUGACUUUUACUUUGAGGAAAUUAGAGUGUUCACGGCAGGCAAACGCCUUGAAUAUAUUAGCAUGGAAUAAUAACAUAGGAUCUUCGUCCUAUUUUGUUGGUUUCUAGGGCUAAGAUAAUGAUUAAUAGGGAUAAUUGGGGGCAUCUGUAUCAACGCGUCAGAGGUGGAAUUCUUGGAUUGCGUUGCGACAAACUACUGCGAAAGCAUUUACCAAGGAUGUUUUCAUUGA
RNAcentral lists this ribosomal RNA (381 nucleotides) under uncultured eukaryote. RNAcentral describes it as "partial 18S ribosomal RNA". It matches the Rfam family "Eukaryotic small subunit ribosomal RNA", at positions 592 to 976 of the family's 1831-position model. The record is from RNAcentral.